CCCUUAGAUGUUCUGGGCCGCACGCGCGCUACACUGACGAUGGCAACGAGUUUUUCCUUCGCCGAAAGGUGUGGGUAAUCUUUUGAAACAUCGUCGUGCUGGGGAUAGAUCAUUGCAAUUUUUGAUCUUGAACGAGGAAUUCCUAGUAAGCGCGAGUCAUCAGCUCGCGUUGAUUACGUCCCUGCCCUUCGUACACACCGCCCGUCGCUACUACCGAUUGAAUGGUUUAGUGAGGACUCCUGAUUGGCGCCGCCGCCCCGGCAACGGAGCAGCGGACUGCCGAAAAGUUGUUCAAACUUGAUCAUUUAGAGGAAGUAAAAGUCGUAACA
This 329-nucleotide ribosomal RNA is filed under the name uncultured eukaryote. RNAcentral's name for it is "partial 18S ribosomal RNA". It matches the Rfam family "Eukaryotic small subunit ribosomal RNA", at positions 1470 to 1796 of the family's 1831-position model. The record is from RNAcentral.